RNAcentral lists this ribosomal RNA (939 nucleotides) under Glenodiniopsis steinii. RNAcentral's name for it is "eukaryotic LSU rRNA". It matches the Rfam family "Eukaryotic large subunit ribosomal RNA", at positions 78 to 941 of the family's 3401-position model. The record is from RNAcentral. Lineage: Eukaryota; Dinophyceae; Peridiniales; Glenodiniaceae.
UCUCAGUAAUGGCGAAUGAACAGGGAUUGGCUCAGCGUGGAUAUCAGGGCCCUGUGGCCUUGAAUUGUAGUCUUGAGAUGUGCCGCCAAUGGAGGCGUAGAUGUAAGCCUCUUGGAAAAGAGCAGCAGAGAGGGUGAGACUCCUGUCUGUCAUCCGCAGUCCUCCAUGUAUGGCGUAUUUUCUGAGAGUCACGUUCCUCGGGAUUGGAGCGCAAAGAGGGUGGUAAAUUUCAUCUACAGCUACAUACAGAUUCAAGACCGAUAGCAAACAAGUACCAUGAGGGAAAGAUGAAAAGGACUUUGAAAAGAGAGUUAAAAGUGCCUGAAAUUGCUGGAAGGGAAGCGAAUCGAACCAGUCUCUGAAGGCAAGAUUGCUCUGUGCGAAUGCCGCAACCAGCUGUGUGAGUGAAAACCAUGUGGCUGGCUGUGAGUUGUACGCAUGGGGUGUCUCUUGUCUACGAUGUCAGCAAGAGCUCACAAGCAUGGACGACUCCAAAGACAUGGGAGCAAGCCUUCGGGUGAGCGAAUGUGUUUGGUAGAACCAGCUUGUGAUCUAGGUUUGUCGUGUCUGAGUGGAAUGCUKCACUGAGUCUGCAUUUCUUGUGUGCACGUGGUGCAGCUCCUUGACACCACGUGUGAUGACUAAAUGGUUCAAUUCGACCCGUCUUGAAACACGGACCAAGGAGUCUAACAUAUCUGCAAGUUUGUGGGUAAGGAAGCCUAUGUGCACAAUCAACGUGAUUGCUGUGAUGAUUGCAACAGCAACUGACCGAUCAACUGGGUGAGGAUUAAGUAUGAGCAUAUAUGUUAGGACCCGAAAGAUGGUGAACUAUGCCUGAGAAGGGCAAACUCAGGGGAAACUCUGAUGGAGGCUUGUAGCGAUACUGACGUGCAAAUCGUUCGUCAUACUUGGGUAUAGGGGCGAAAGACUAAUCGAACC